CGCUGGCGGCGUGCUUAACACAUGCAAGUCACGGGGGGCCCGCAAGGGUAACCGGCGAACGGGUGCGUAACACGUGAGCAAUCUGCCGUACACUGGGGGAUAGCCGGCCCAACGGCCGGGUAAUACCGCAUACGUUCCUCGCCUGGCAUCAGGUGGGGAGGAAACCUCCGGGGGGUGUACGAGGAGCUCGCGGCCUAUCAGCUAGUUGGUGGGGUAACGGCCUACCAAGGCGAUGACGGGUAGCUGGUCUAAGAGGAUGGCCAGCCACAUUGGGACUGAGAUACGGCCCAGACUCCUACGGGAGGCAGCAGUGGGGAAUAUUGCGCAAUGGCCGCAAGGCUGACGCAGCGACGCCGCGUGGGGGAUGAAGCAUUUCGGUGUGUAAACCCCUGUUGCUCGGGACGAACAACCCUUUUCGAGGGGUCUGACGGUACCGGGUGAGGAAGCACCGGCUAACUCCGUG
This 463-nucleotide ribosomal RNA is filed under the name uncultured bacterium. RNAcentral's name for it is "bacterial SSU rRNA". It matches the Rfam family "Bacterial small subunit ribosomal RNA", at positions 34 to 507 of the family's 1533-position model. The record is from RNAcentral.